UCCUACGGGAGGCAGCAGUGGGGAAUCUUAGACAAUGGGCGCAAGCCUGAUCUAGCCAUGCCGCGUGUGUGAUGAAGGUCUUAGGAUCGUAAAGCACUUUCGCCAGGGAUGAUAAUGACAGUACCUGGUAAAGAAACCCCGGCUAACUCCGUGCCAGCAGCCGCGGUAAUACGGAGGGGGUUAGCGUUGUUCGGAAUUACUGGGCGUAAAGCGUACGUAGGCGGAUUGGAAAGUUGGGGGUGAAAUCCCAGGGCUCAACCCUGGAACUGCCUCCAAAACUAUCAGUCUAGAGUUCGAGAGAGGUGAGUGGAAUUCCAAGUGUAGAGGUGAAAUUCGUAGAUAUUUGGAGGAACACCAGUGGCGAAGGCGGCUCACUGGCUCGAUACUGACGCUGAGGUACGAAAGUGUGGGGAGCAAACAGGAUUAGAUACCCUGGUAGUCCACACCGUAAACGAUGAAUGCCAGUCGUCGGGCAGUAUACUGUUCGGGACACACCUAACGGAUUAAGCAU
This 511-nucleotide ribosomal RNA is filed under the name uncultured marine bacterium. RNAcentral describes it as "bacterial SSU rRNA". It matches the Rfam family "Bacterial small subunit ribosomal RNA", at positions 337 to 867 of the family's 1533-position model. The record is from RNAcentral.